This 64-nucleotide transfer RNA is filed under the name Halyziini sp. HA. Its description in RNAcentral is "tRNA-Tyr". It matches the Rfam family "tRNA". From Rfam's summary of the family: Transfer RNA (tRNA) molecules are approximately 80 nucleotides in length. Their secondary structure includes four short double-helical elements and three loops (D, anti-codon, and T loops). Lineage: Eukaryota; Metazoa; Arthropoda; Insecta; Coleoptera; Coccinellidae. The record is from RNAcentral.
GAUAAAGUGGCUGAAUAAAAGCGUUAAAUUGUAAAUUUAUUUAUAGGGGUUUCCCUCUUUAUUA